Molecule: long non-coding RNA, 1021 nt
Filed under: Glycine max (soybean)
Lineage: Eukaryota; Viridiplantae; Streptophyta; Magnoliopsida; Fabales; Fabaceae
Description: long non-coding RNA (GMAX_LNC002528)
Source: RNAcentral
AAAAAGAAAAUAUAGGCCUACUCUAUGUGUUCGACACUGAUAGUCGUACAAAAUGUCUCUGACACACUACUCCAGUGUCAGAUUAAAAUAUAAUUUUUUUGGGGCUUCAACACUUUAACACACCGCUUUAAUAGGGCUUCAGUGGAAAAUUUGUUUUUUGAAAAUUUUAAAACACAAAUUUCAAAUUUAGAAAGUAGAAAGACAAAAACUUAUCGCAUAUGCUUCUCUUCUUUGCUGGUACGAGACCUUUUGAUUUUUUGUUGCCCAUUGUUGCAUUGACUUCUCUCAACUGUUCUUGUUAAUGGUAAGUUUAUAUAUACUCCCAUAGUUUCUAUAUUGCUCUUCAUUUCUCAUUCUCGACCUGCAUACUUUCUUUGCUGUCAAAAGGAGUGGCUAACUCUAUUUUUAUUUCACAUGUGAAAACCGGUGGUGUAUGAUAAUUUACUUGUUGUUAUGUGCUUAUGCGUGUCAUAUUAAUAAUGAGACAACACCAUCUCUUAAGGGGCAAGUGCUAAGCUGGUUCACCCACUCACCUGUGCUCUCAGGUCUUCCAAGCUUGCGUUUAGAUUUUGGUAGAAAUUGGACAAGUUGGGUACCGUGAAUCCGCUGCACUUCAAUGUGAGUAAAAAGAGUUGAGGGUCUCCAACUGCUCCUUCAAAGCUCCACCAUGACCACAACACCAACAAGGUUAAGGCUACGACCUUGAGUUGCACCAUUUUCUUGUGAUUCUUAAUUAAGGGUUCAAAAGACCGGUUUGAUAUAGGCCUCAAAGAAAAAAGUCUAGUUGUCGAUGAUGUUCAUGCGUGGGUUGAUUAAGGUUGUCCAAGUCUAAGAUCUGACAUAUGGAGGAAGACUAGUGUUUCUGUUAGCUAUGUAUGUAUAAGAAAGAAGUUUAGUCAUUUUUUUAUAAUAUUCUAUUAGGUAAAAUUUAUAAAUGAAAUCAUUUAAAAUUUUAUACGUAUAUAAUUAAUUUGAAUGAAUGAUAUAAAUUUAGAGAGAAAAGGGUAAAUUAAAACUUUUG